UACGUAGGGGGCAAGCGUUGUCCGGAAUCAUUGGGCGUAAAGCGCGUGUAGGCGGCCCGGUAAGUCCGCUGUGAAAGUCCAGGGCUCAACCCUGGAAAGCCGGUGGAUACUGUCGGGCUAGAGUCCGGAAGAGGCGAGUGGAAUUCCUGGUGUAGCGGUGAAAUGCGCAGAGAUCAGGAGGAACACCCGUGGCGAAGGCGGCUCUCUGGGUCCGCCCUGACGCUGAGGCGCGAAAGCGUGGGGAGCGAACGGG
This 253-nucleotide ribosomal RNA is filed under the name uncultured bacterium. RNAcentral's name for it is "partial 16S ribosomal RNA". It matches the Rfam family "Bacterial small subunit ribosomal RNA", at positions 524 to 776 of the family's 1533-position model. The record is from RNAcentral.